UACGUAGGGGGCUAGCGUUGUCCGGAAUCAUUGGGCGUAAAGAGCGCGUGGGCGGCCCGGUAAGUCUGCUGUAAAAGUCAAAGGCUUAACCUUUGAAAGUCAGUGGAUACUGCCGGGCUAGAGUCCGGAAGAGGCGAGUGGAACUCCUGGUGUAGCGGUGGAAUGCGCAGAUAUCAGGAAGAACACCAACGGCGAAGGCAGCUCGCUGGGACGGAACUGACGCUGAGGCGCGAAAGCGUGGGGAGCAAACAGG
RNAcentral lists this ribosomal RNA (253 nucleotides) under uncultured bacterium. RNAcentral describes it as "partial 16S ribosomal RNA". It matches the Rfam family "Bacterial small subunit ribosomal RNA", at positions 524 to 776 of the family's 1533-position model. The record is from RNAcentral.